Molecule: ribosomal RNA, 292 nt
Filed under: uncultured bacterium
Lineage: Bacteria
Also listed under: 1 other name
Description: partial 16S ribosomal RNA
Source: RNAcentral
GGACUACACGGGUAUCUAAUCCUGUUUGCUCCCCACGCUUUCGUGCAUGAGCGUCAGUGACGUCCCAGGGGGCUGCCUUCGCCAUCGGUAUUCCUCCACAUCUCUACGCAUUUCACUGCUACACGUGGAAUUCUACCCCCCUCUGACAUACUCUAGCCUUGCAGUCACAAGCGCAAUUCCCAAGUUGAGCUCGGGGAUUUCACGCCUGUCUUACAAAACCGCCUGCGCACGCUUUACGCCCAGUAAUUCCGAUUAACGCUCGCACCCUACGUAUUACCGCGGCGGCUGGCAC